Molecule: transfer RNA, 74 nt
Filed under: Candidatus Electryonea clarkiae
Lineage: Bacteria; Pseudomonadati; Candidatus Electryoneota; Candidatus Electryoneia; Candidatus Electryoneales; Candidatus Electryoneaceae
Description: tRNA-Met
Rfam family: tRNA
About the family: Transfer RNA (tRNA) molecules are approximately 80 nucleotides in length. Their secondary structure includes four short double-helical elements and three loops (D, anti-codon, and T loops).
Source: RNAcentral
GGCGGGAUAGCUCAGCUGGUUAGAGCGUGCGACUCAUAAUCGCAAGGUCGGGAGUUCGAGUCUCCCUCCCGCUA